RNAcentral lists this ribosomal RNA (484 nucleotides) under uncultured bacterium. RNAcentral describes it as "partial 16S ribosomal RNA". It matches the Rfam family "Bacterial small subunit ribosomal RNA", at positions 29 to 507 of the family's 1533-position model. The record is from RNAcentral.
AUUGAACGCUGGCGGCAUGCCUUACACAUGCAAGUCGAACGGCAGUGCGGGCUUCGGCCUGGCGGCGAGUGGCGAACGGGUGAGUAAUACAUCGGAACGUGCCCAGUAGUGGGGGAUAGCUCGGCGAAAGCCGGAUUAAUACCGCAUACGACCUGAGGGUGAAAGCGGGGGAUCUUCGGACCUCGCGCUAUUGGAGCGGCCGAUGGCAGAUUAGCUAGUUGGUGGGGUAAAGGCCUACCAAGGCGACGAUCUGUAGCUGGUCUGAGAGGACGACCAGCCACACUGGGACUGAGACACGGCCCAGACUCCUACGGGAGGCAGCAGUGGGGAAUUUUGGACAAUGGGCGAAAGCCUGAUCCAGCAAUGCCGCGUGUGUGAUGAAGGCCUUCGGGUUGUAAAGCACUUUUGGCGGGAACGAAAAGGACUGUGCCAAUACCACGGUUCGAUGACGGUACCCGCAGAAUAAGCACCGGCUAACUACGUG